UAGUCAUUAGUGCUCAUUUUCUGGUUAAUAGUUACAAGAAUUGAGAAAUGAGUUUGAAUAGGAAGGCCCAAAGAUUAAGCACAAGUUGACAACUUGACAUGCUUCUAUUGAGGAAGUCCUUGCAGGACCUGAAAGAUGUUAAUCGAGACAUAUGUUACUUGGACUCGGGAAGCAAACAACACUUAGCAAUCAAACGAACUGCCUGUGAUGAGGUAUAAUAUUUUUGAACAACAUUUAUUUUGGUGGAACUGAAUCAACAUUUCCAAGGUGUUUUCAGUGAAUGCAUUGUUCUGUAAGUUGAAAGAAGGAAGAAAAGGCAGUCUAAAAGAAGCAGCUGAGCUGAUGAGUGAGUUCCAUCAUCCAAAGGAAUUGAAGAACCCUAAGUCUCAUAAGCAAAUAAAGUGACCGAGCCAUCUACUAUUGGCCACAACUCCAGCUCAUCUGCUACUAGUGAAAUAAAAAACAAUGUACAAAUCUGUAAUUAUGUAAAAGAAUUGAUCUUAAAUGCAACUGUUGAAAAUGA
Molecule: long non-coding RNA, 523 nt
Organism: Gossypium arboreum
Lineage: Eukaryota; Viridiplantae; Streptophyta; Magnoliopsida; Malvales; Malvaceae
Exons: 2
Source: RefSeq, a predicted model, not a curated record